Molecule: ribosomal RNA, 535 nt
Filed under: uncultured bacterium
Lineage: Bacteria
Description: bacterial SSU rRNA
Rfam family: Bacterial small subunit ribosomal RNA
Source: RNAcentral
AUCUGCCCUUCACUGGGGAAUAACUAACCGAAAGGUUAGCUAAUACCGCAUGAGGCCACAGUUUCCGAGGAUACAGUGGUUAAAGAUUUAUUGGUGAAGGAUGAGUCUGCGUGGGAUUAGCUAGUUGGUGAGGUAAUGGCUCACCAAGGCGACGAUCUCUAACAGGUCUGAGAGGAUGACCUGUCACACUGGAACUGAGACACGGUCCAGACUCCUACGGGAGGCAGCAGUAGGGAAUAUUGCGCAAUGGACGAAAGUCUGACGCAGCGACGCCGCGUGAGUGAUGAAGGCCUUAGGGUCGUAAAGCUCUGUUGCAGGGGAAGAAAAAAAUGACGGUACCCUGCGAGAAAGGAUCGGCUAACUUCGUGCCAGCAGCCGCGGUAAGACGAGGGAUCCUAGCGUUGUUCGGAAUCAUUGGGCGUAAAGCGCAUGUAGGCUGCCAUUCAAGUCAGUUGUGAAAGCCCCGGGCUCAACCCGGGAAGUGCUUCUGAUACUGUUUGGCUUGAGUACUAGAGAGGAUAGUAGAAUUCCAGGU